This is a non-coding RNA of Cinara cedri, 222 nucleotides long. The record is from the annotation of a GenBank genome assembly. Lineage: Eukaryota; Metazoa; Arthropoda; Insecta; Hemiptera; Aphididae.
GCAUAAAUGCACGACCGUUAAACUCUAUAUAAACUUAACCGCGGUGUAUAACGGCAGUAAUGGCUGCGUCGACGUACACGCGUCUGCACAUAUGUGUUUUGAUCGGCCCCUUUCGGGAUCACUGUGUUCUUACGCUCGGUCGGAGCGUACGGACAUCGCGUGGUAUAAUAUAAUCCCCGGGAACAAUAACGUCGAAACGAAAACGUAUUAUACGUUUGAAUU